Molecule: long non-coding RNA, 841 nt
Organism: Pomacea canaliculata
Lineage: Eukaryota; Metazoa; Mollusca; Gastropoda; Architaenioglossa; Ampullariidae
Exons: 2
Source: RefSeq, a predicted model, not a curated record
ACCGGGUCCUUGUGUAACCCUAUCCGUCUCGCGAGCCAAGAGCCCUGACUCGCGGCGUCACAGGUAUCUUUUUCUUUCGGAUGGGACAGCAACCCCCCCCCUUUCUCUUUGUCUGUUUCUUUGCUUUUCGCGCGCGUUGGGUCCUUGGGCGCGUUUUUUUUCUGUCUUUUCUGGAGAGUCUUCAUCCAGCAACGACGGCGCCGGACGUGGGGUGACGGUGGAGGACCGUGGCCUAGCGGCGGCGCUGGUCUCUCACCAUCACAAGCCGAUUUGGGCUUUUCUUUUUUUGUAUAUUUUCUACGUGUUUCUUCAUAUUCUUCAUGUUGGAUUUGCUCUUCGUCCAUGUCGUCGUUUCUGCAUAUUGCCUUUCGUGCUAAUGUCCGCCAUUGUGUCGACCCUGCGCCUACCGCCUCGUCGGCGCGUGAGCGCGACCCUGCUGCGCGAGUGUGCGGCCUGGCCAUCGAGGGAGUACCUAGGGUGGAGGUCGGCGAGCAGGGACUCACGUGACCAAGGUCUACCCGGACGGGAGAACCGAGGGGAGGACAGCUGGUCCAGAGGGAGAGAGGGGGGGGUCACCGCUGUAGCGGCAUGCGGGCCAGAGAGGAUGGGCUGCCGCCAGCGAACACCUUGAGCGGACAUUUGACUCGCCACCCAGCAGUGCGUGCGGGUGGUUUGUCUUCCCUCGUUGUUUUGUUUUUUGUUUUUUUGUUUUUUUUCUUCUUUGCCUACUGUAACAUGCCUGUGCACAGGGCAACUCUUGUAUUGUGAAUUAUGUUUGAUGCUUGCCUCCUAUUAAUGUUAUUUUAUGUUUAGUUAAUAAACCUGUCUGUUUUGUAAACUU